This 253-nucleotide ribosomal RNA is filed under the name uncultured bacterium. RNAcentral describes it as "partial 16S ribosomal RNA". It matches the Rfam family "Bacterial small subunit ribosomal RNA", at positions 524 to 776 of the family's 1533-position model. The record is from RNAcentral.
UACGAAGGGCCCGAGCGUUAAUCGGAAUCACUGGGCUUAAAGGGUGCGUAGGCGGACUCGCAAGUACUUUGUGAAAUCCCAGAGCUCAACUCUGGAAUGGCUUGGUAGACUGCGAGUCUUGAGCUCGACAGAGGCCAUCGGAACUCUAGGUGGAGCGGUGAAAUGCGUAGAUAUCUAGAGGAACGCCGAAGGUGAAGACAGGUGGCUGGGUCGACGCUGACGCUGAGGCACGAAAGCGUGGGUAGCGAACGGG